GUGUGGUUGAGAGAGAGGCGUGUAGCAGGGAAAGAGAAGGAGAUUGGGGGUUAGGUCAAGAUGUUACGCUUUGUUGGUAGCUAAACCAUGUGCUUGUAUAUUGAGUCUGAGAUUGAGAAAGCUUCAGCCGUUUCAGCCUCUUCGCCGCGCCGUAUCGCUCAAAAUCUCUAGAAAUUGGUUUCAGAACAUGAUUGUCCCCAUUUACUGUUCUAUGGUCCAUCAGGUUCUGGCAAGAAAAGCCUAAUCAUGACUCUUCUCCGUCAAAUGUUUGGACCCGGUGCUGAAAAGGUGAAGGUGGAAAAUAGAGCAUGGAAAGUGGAUGCUGGGAGUAGAUCUAUUGAUUUAGAGCUGACAACAUUAUCAAGUGCCAAUCAUAAUUUGGUUUUCGAAACUUCCAUCCACUCUUUUUAUUUGUUCCACAAUUUAUACUUAGUUAAAAUGUUUUUUUGUUGACACAUUGAGGUGAAGAAGAGAUGAGAACAAUGAAGAAUACAAUAUGAGUUCCAUUAUUAGUUGUCAUUCUAUUUUUAUAAGUGUUUAUUUUUCUGUUUGUUUUCUAGAGCUUAAAUGUUUUUUUCUCCAGCUUCUGUUUGUCCUACUGUUUUUGUUUCAAGCCCCUAAUGAACAAGAUGAAAAAGUUAUAUGAUAAAAAAACAUGUUCACAUGAUUGGAUACAUCUAUUUGGAGUGCAACUGCUUCAUUGCUUUCUUACCAAAACCAUCAUGGAUGGAUCUUUAUAAUCAACUUUUCUGUGUUAGGAGUAAAUGCCGAUGAUGUUCGAGUCUCUGUGGCAGGAGCCCUUUUUUCUGUAGUGCCAUGGACACAGUGUGAACAAGUUAUUCAAAUAGCUUUACAGAUGUUAGAUGAAGGAUGAAGGAUGAAGGAUGAAGGAUGAAGAAAUAGAUUCACUAAUUUUAACAGAGUCAUGAUGGACAUUGGCCAGGAGAUUAUGGAGGUCCCAUGUUUCUUAUGCCUGGAUUGGUUAUUACUUUGUCUGUCACCGGGGCUUUGAAUGCAGUCUUAACCGACGAGCAUAGAAAGGAAAUGCGCCGUUACCUCUAUAAUCAUUAGAUUGUUCUCCAAAGGAAUAAACCUUCACUUGAGCAAAUAAGUAAAAGAGUGAAGUAAAUUAUAUCAAAUGGGAUCCUACUGGUUCACUACUGGCCUCGUGUUCAGACGAUAAAUAGUGUUGCGAAUACAAUGAACAAUAUUGUUGAUAUUUUGAAUUGUAUAUGUUGAUAUUUUGAAUUGUAUAUUUCAGGGUUGUAAUUAGAAUGCAAUAGAUACUCUAUAUAAACAUAUCAAAUUUAUAAUGGGUCACAUACUAGUACAUUAUAAUUGUGA
Molecule: long non-coding RNA, 1344 nt
Organism: Vicia villosa (hairy vetch)
Lineage: Eukaryota; Viridiplantae; Streptophyta; Magnoliopsida; Fabales; Fabaceae
Exons: 8
Source: RefSeq, a predicted model, not a curated record